AUGUUACAAUUAAUCAGUAGAAUUUGAGAUAAUUUUAGAGAAAAAUAUUAAUCAUGGAUACAACGAUUAUGCUCAAUGAAGUUUUAACAUGAAGGCAUGAAAUCAGCAUCAAACAUUUAUACUAGAGAGAAAAUUUCGAUUUUGAAAACUCGAAGGAGAAAGUUAUACAUAUUCAUUCAUUGUUUUCUUAUCAUCAUGCAAGCACUAGAAAAUUUCAUGCUAAGAUCGUUUAGAUAAGAUUUAUCAUACAUACAAGGCAUUUAGUAAAUAUUCAAUAGCCUAACUGAAUUUACAAAGUUAAGCAUAUCAAGACAUGAAAUGACAAUUUAAAUUACAUUCACAAAUGAUGAAAUAAAAUUUAUUUAUAAGUCACGUGGCAUGGCGCACACCCAGUUAAGAGUUUCACAUGAGUUUCAAGGGCUGCUUUAACACAUUUGCAAGAUAAUCUUAGUUUUUCAUUUUAGGUACCCAAGCUUGCUUGGGUCUUUGGGAGUUAGUGCAUAUGGUUCCUUUUGGAACCCAAAUCUAUUUAAUUGUAAUAAUUUUGCCAUUUGAUUUGCUUGUAUUGAAACUAUAGGUAAAGUUUUUAUGCCUAUUCUUUUCAUAUUUGAAAUAAGUUAUCUUCUUUGAGGGUUUGCUUGGUGAAUUAAUUACCUUUUUAUUUAGAGGUUUAUUGUUAAGUAAAGAAGUCCAGUCAAGUUUUGAUUUAUCAAAAUCAGCAUGUUGGCUUUCAAACAUUGUUUUUAAUCAUUCUGAACUUACAAUGAAUUUGUUAAUAAAAGAUUUCAGUUGGUUAACUUCUUCACUUAAGUUUUGAUUCUGAUUUUUCUGAAUUAAUUCUUCUGAAUUUAACCUUAAAUGUUCAUUCUCAAAAUUUAAUUUGUCU
This 886-nucleotide long non-coding RNA is filed under the name Phoenix dactylifera (date palm). RNAcentral describes it as "long non-coding RNA (PDAC_LNC004481)". Lineage: Eukaryota; Viridiplantae; Streptophyta; Magnoliopsida; Arecales; Arecaceae. The record is from RNAcentral.